CUGGCCUCAGGUGAUCCUCCCACCUUGACUUCCCAGAGUACUGAAAUUAUAGGUGCAAGCCAGCACACCUGACCCUGGACUCUUACUUAGUACCAGCCAGUGCUCUAAGAGAUUUACUUGGAUUAACUCAUUUAAUCCUCAAAAUAAAACCAUGAGGUAUUGACUCAACUGGCUUUGUAUGCUGGGCACCACUUUGCAAACAGCUUACAGGAUGGACUGCAGUCCUCACAACGAUCUUCAAAGCACGCUCGGAGUUGUGGCCCUACGGGGACCCGGUGAAUUCAGCUGCCUGUAUGAGGUGAUGUUGUUUUGCCUUAAAUGGUCCCCUAGCCUCUCCCAAAGACCCCUCCUUACUCUUCCCAAGAAUGUCCCAAUUCCUUUCCCACUUGUGCCACUCAUUUUCAAGAGAGGAGAUGGCCCAGCCCUCUUCUCUUCCCCACCUCCCUCCCCCAAACUGUGUGACCCUCAGCACCCAGGGCUCAGGGGGCUGCCAGAGAUGGAGAGGAGGCAAACCCA
This 516-nucleotide long non-coding RNA is filed under the name Homo sapiens (human). RNAcentral's name for it is "HSALNT0390541". Lineage: Eukaryota; Metazoa; Chordata; Mammalia; Primates; Hominidae. The record is from RNAcentral.